AUUGUUACCUCUCGAACUUCACAGAUGGUGAAGGUUUAAUAUUUAAAAUCACGUGCGCUUAGAAAAGCACCAAAACUAACUAAUCACAACCAACAGUACUGUCUGAGUACGCGGAGACGACUGUGAUAGCUGAUCACUUAGAGUCCUUCGUAGAAACAUGCCUCGCUCCUUCAUGAUCAAAAAGACGCGGGGGCGACGAUCAUCCCCCCAUACCCCCCUCAACGAACCCCCUUCCCCCACGGAUUGCUGGGUGGAACCGGAGUACCCAAAGGUCCUCAGGACCCCGUGUUCAGAUGAAGCUCAUCGCCCAAUCUUUCCUCCCCCAAAAUCUCGAAUCCGAACCCCUUUCGAUGUGGCAUCCUUGAUCGCAGAUGUUACCCCGUCGUUCACAGACGAAUCCUCGAAAUGGCGGAACGACAGAAAAUCCUUAUCUUAUAAUGAAAGCGAAACAGGCCCUUUGGACAAGCCAGACAACUGUGUCCGAAUCAAGGAAACAAAAUACCUGCGAGAGUUUCUUGGCGACUUCCUGUCAUGGCUGACACUGGACCACGAGAUGCAGAUUCUGCCGAAAACAGGUCUUCUUCCGGAUCCUCUGCAUACACCCUCAUUUCACGACAUCGGCCGUCAAGAUGACAUUCAUCCUUGUAACUGUGCGCGAUGCCGCGGCCACGACGACUCGUCUCCCUCUGACCACAGUUCCGUUCACUCCGGCGACAUGGGGUCCAAGAUCCUCUCUGGGGGUCUCUCCGAACCAAAAGAAAGAACAUUUUCGUGUAAAGAGUGCGGCAAGUCGUUCAAGAGAUCGUCUACUCUGUCCACGCACAUGUUGAUUCACAGUGACACUCGACCAUACCCGUGCCCUUACUGUGGUAAACGAUUCCAUCAAAAGUCGGACAUGAAAAAACACACGUAUAUUCAUACUGGCGAGAAACCUCACAAGUGUACCAUAUGUGGAAAAGCAUUCAGCCAGUCGUCCAACCUGAUAACACACAGUCGGAAACACACUGGAUACAAGCCGUUCUCUUGCUCACAGUGUGGACGGGCAUUCCAGAGAAAAGUGGAUUUGAGGCGCCAUCUUGAAAUCAGCAGCCACCACUAAGGGAGAUCACUAUCAGUUAAAGACUUGAAUUGCCCCCCUUUAAUUCCCAACGACUUUGCUGCAAGAGGCUUGUAGUGGGCUGUUCAGAUUACAGGCCCAAUGACGUCACAACAGACUCCGUGAUGAUGAUGUCCUGGACGUUAUUACGACGGCUGCGACUACGGAAAAUAUGACAAACAAAUGACAUAAGUCCUAACUGCAUAUUUUGUGCACACCACAAAAAGACGUCAUGUACUGGUCAACCAAGGACACAAAUAUAAGACGUUUUUCAGAUUGGAUUGAAUCUGGGGAAUAGCGUAUUUCGUUCAGAAAGGGCAGGUAUUAAGAGGCCCGGUGAAGGGGUACGGGUUUGAAGUCAGGAACAAAUUUGAACUGUUCAGAUACAGCUUCGCAUCAUAAAACGCAAGAAAUAAACACUGGGGCUAUAAGUAAAGUGUAAAGUUAAAAAGUGCGCGCCGGGCUAUGAUUACAAGACAUACGGUUUAUAUAGAAAACCCCGUUAAUCCAGAUCCAUGCCUGCAGAGAUUCUUCCAGGGAACUACAUAUACUGAAAGGGACAAUAUUCCCUUACAGGAUUCCUUAAUCCGUGGAUCUGUUCAUCUGUACGGUUUCCAUGGUUACCGUUCGGAUUAAAGGGGUUUCACUUUUGUUUUCGAAUCAACUUUGCUUACGCUUGUUAUUUGCCAGGUGCAUCUGCAAUAUCUUCAGACAUAUUGUAAAACACCCAGUGUUAAAAAUCACCCACUUUUAAAUUUUAAUUCAUAUUCUAUUUUUUUUCUUUUAACUUCCAGAUAUUUUAGAAUAGAAAUGGAAUGCUUCUGUCUGUCACCAAGACAUAUUUCCUCCUAACUCAAAUCCACUUUUUCUUUUAAAACUCUCACAAAACAUUAUUCUGUCAAACAAAUAUAUCAAGAUUACAGACUGUUUCUUUUAAUCGAUUUCACAACGUCUGGAUUCUCGUAUUGUGGAUAAAUGUCUUGUGAUUUAUUUAUGCCACGUCCGUCACGUUUCUGAUAGACCUUUGCCUCUAAAAUUCUUAUAUUCACAUUGGAGUGUUAGCGAUAUGUAUUCAUUAUGAAAGCAAAUAUUCUUUACAGAACGAUAGCAAACGUCAAGCUAGUAAUGGUCGGCAAGAGAUUUCUAAAAUGUUUAGCAAUGAAUAUUUCUAUUGAUCGCUAGGGGUCGUUUGCCUAUUUGUCAGUGUCGGUUAGGAAUUCUAAACGGUUUUUGAAUCUCAAAUAUUGAAAAGAGCGAUCAGAUUUUCAAAGAUUCCAGGCUAAUUAGCAAUUCACAUUUGUCAAAAACGAUAUAGUCGCUGUAUCACGUUAGCCUAUAUGAUAUUAUGAAGUUUUUUUCUCUUGAAAUCGACAAAUGUUAAUGGGAAUAUUUAACCGAUAAAUUGGAAAGAGUAUACGCGUAUGGUAUCACAUUGACGUUCAAAUUGUGAAUCGUUUACUAUUCAUACUGAGUAUUGCUUUAUAAAGCCCAGUACUGUCACAUAUGUGACCUGUAUCAUAAUUUCGUUUUACUGAAUAUUUUUCAUGCAAUAAUUUAUUUUCCUUUUUUUUUGCACAGAAUGGAAUUUAAAUUUAAAAACAGUUUAGUCGGUUAAAUAUUAAUAUCAGAAACAUAAGAAAUACACGUGUCCAUGCAGGCUUUACCUUGCCGAGACUACAUGACGUUAAGGAGUGAGAUGUAGUCAUGAUGUUAAUGAGUGAGAUCUAGUCAUGACGUAAGGAGUGAGAUCUAGUCAUGACGUCAGGAGUGAGAUCUAGUCAUGACGUUAAUGAGUGAGAUCUAGUCAUGACGUUAUGGAGUGGGAUCUAGUCAUGACAUUAGGGCAUGAGAUCUAGUCAUGACGUUAAGGAAUAAUAUCUAGUCAUGACGUUAAGGAGUGAGAUCUAGUCAUCACGUUACGGGGUGAGAUCUAGUCAUGGCGUUAAGGAAUGAGAUCUAGUCAUGACGUUAUGGAUUGAGAUCUAGUCAUGACGUUAAGGAGUGAGAUCUAGUCGUGACGUUAAAGAAUGAGACCUAGUCAUGACGUUAAGGAAUGAGAUUUAUCAUGACGUUAUGGAGUGAGAUCUAGUCAUGACGCCAAGGAGUGAGAUCUAGUCAUUUACCCAACGUUUGACCCCCAGAAACUUGUGCGUAUAAACGAGGUUCAUUAUUAGUCGUUAUUGCCCCGAUGUUAGCAGUGCACCUGCCUUUAUAGCUGUUGUUUUUGUUAUUACAAUCUAUGUUUUAUGCCAUCUGUGGUAUUUUGAUGAUCUCUAAUUGUAUAUACAUCUGUACAUAUUUUUUAAGUUAUUUGAAUAAAAAAUAAAUGAAAAA
RNAcentral lists this unclassified non-coding RNA (3430 nucleotides) under Haliotis rubra (blacklip abalone). RNAcentral describes it as "zinc finger protein 90-like, transcript variant X1". The record is from RNAcentral. Lineage: Eukaryota; Metazoa; Mollusca; Gastropoda; Lepetellida; Haliotidae.